AAAAAAAAAAAAUAAAAAAUGAACUAUAUUUUGCUCAGGUAACCGCUCAGGAUGAAAUUUCAUCAAGCAAAUUACAUAUUAACUUUCAAAAAUUCAAGUAUACUCAUCAUAGCAACCAUUUUGCAUUCAAUAGUCUUGUAUCAGCAAAGAUUCACUGUUCAAAAUGUUAAUAACUCAUUUUACGUGGAAAAACAAAAAAGGGGAAACAAAGGGAAGUGAGAGAAAUAAAGUAACUAAACAGAAAAGAAAAAAAUCAAAAGAGAAUAAAAAGGAAAACAUCAAAUUGAAGUUAGACCAACUGCAAUCAGAUUAUCUAACCAAAUGGUGCUCAGUUAACCGCUCAGGAUUGUAUUUCAUCAAGCAAUUACUGCAUAAACUUUCAUGAGUUUUUAAUACUCAUCACAGCAACCAUUUCCAUUAAACAGUCUUUCAUAUUCAAAAUUAACCAUCAAAAUAUUAGUAGCUUAUUUUUGAAAGUUAAAAAAAAAAAAGAAUCAGUUGAAAAAAGACAACGAGGGACAAUGUUAAAAGGAAUCAGAUUGAUGAUGCAUCAACAAGGCUAAUCAGCCAUUCCGACGAGCGAACCUUGUAAUCAGUCAUCUUCACCGUCCUUUUUAGAGGCUAUGAAUUCAGUACUUUGACAUUGAAAUGCAGUUAAUUAAAUCAGAGUUAUCAUCCCAAGUACAACAGGCAAAAUUGUUGAAGUAAAAGAAUUGGCAUCUCUAAGUACCAUAAAAUCAAAGAACUAUGCUUCCAAACAAACCUUAAUAUUUGCCAAAAAAUCAUU
RNAcentral lists this unclassified non-coding RNA (787 nucleotides) under Hevea brasiliensis (rubber tree). Lineage: Eukaryota; Viridiplantae; Streptophyta; Magnoliopsida; Malpighiales; Euphorbiaceae. The record is from RNAcentral.